AGCAGCCGCGGUAAUUCCAGCUCCAAUAGCGUAUAUUAAAGUUGUUGCAGUUAAAAAGCUCGUAGUUGAAUUUCGGGAUCAAAUUGUCGGUCGUGCCUCGGUACGCACUGGUAUUAUUGGUUCCUACCUUCUGAAGAACCGCGAUGUCAUUAAUUUGGUGUCGUGGGGAAUCAGGACUGUUACUUUGAAAAAAUUAGAGUGUUUAAAGCAGGCUUACGCUUGAAUACAUUAGCAUGGAAUAAUGAAAUAGGACGUUUGAUUCUAUUUUGUUGGUUUCUAGGAUUGACGUAAUGAUUAAUAGGGAUAGUUGGGGGCAUUAGUAUUCAAUUGUCAGAGGUGAAAUUCUUGGAUUUAUUGAAGACUAACUACUGCGAAAGCAUUUGCCAAGGAUGUUUUCAUUAAUCAAGAACGAGAGUUAGGGGAUCGAAGACGAUCAGAUACCGUCGUAGUCUUAACCAUAAACUAUGCCGACUAGGGAUCGGAUGAUGUUAAUUUUUAAUGUACUCAUUCGGCGCCUUAC
This 520-nucleotide ribosomal RNA is filed under the name uncultured Glomeraceae. Its description in RNAcentral is "SSU rRNA". It matches the Rfam family "Eukaryotic small subunit ribosomal RNA", at positions 569 to 1091 of the family's 1831-position model. Lineage: Eukaryota; Fungi; Glomeromycota; Glomeromycetes; Glomerales; Glomeraceae. The record is from RNAcentral.